GACGAACGCUGGCGGCGCGCCUAACACAUGCAAGUCGAACGAGAGAGAGGAAGCUUGCUUCCUUAAUCGAGUGGCGAACGGGUGAGUAACACGUAAGCAACCUGCCUGUUAGAGGGGAACAACAGUUAGAAAUGACUGCUAAUACCGCAUAUGCCUUAACUAUCGCAUGAUAGAAGAGGGAAAGGAGAAAUCCGCUAACAGAUGGGCUUGCGUCUGAUUAGAUAGUUGGUGGGGUAACGGCCCACCAAGGCGACGAUCAGUAGCCGGACUGAGAGGUUGGCCGGCCACAUUGGGACUGAGACACGGCCCAA
RNAcentral lists this ribosomal RNA (311 nucleotides) under uncultured bacterium. RNAcentral describes it as "bacterial SSU rRNA". It matches the Rfam family "Bacterial small subunit ribosomal RNA", at positions 28 to 334 of the family's 1533-position model. The record is from RNAcentral.